Non-coding RNA from Acanthosepion pharaonis, 109 nucleotides. Lineage: Eukaryota; Metazoa; Mollusca; Cephalopoda; Sepiida; Sepiidae. The record is from the annotation of a GenBank genome assembly.
UUACGGCCAUAUCACGUUGGGACACCAGUUCUCAUGAGAUCACCAGAUCUAAGCAACGUUGACCCUGGUCAGUACCUAGAUGGGUGACCGCUUGGGAAUUCCAGGUCGU